UAUUAAAAAAAAUCAUGACAGCUGUGAUGGAAACAGGAAGCUUUAGUACAAUUUUAUAAAUGCAGACAGAUAAUUUGUUGUUUGACAAGGUGGGAUCUUUUUGUGUCAAUAAAAUGUAUUAUGCGAGAAAUGGUGGUGGAAAUGCCUUUAUGAUGGUCCAUUCCAAUAAAUAUUGAAGGUCUUAUUCUAGUGACAUGACGAUUGAUGGUUGACUGCCGUUUGACAAAUAAAAAUAUUCUCGCUCUAAUCCAUAAUAAUCUCAUCAUGUAGACUAACCUACCUGCACCACCUGCCUGCACCGUAUCUGCGAGCUGUUGACUGACUAGAGCACGGUGCAUUUGCUAUUUAACUCAACAGUUUUUAUAUUUUAGCCAUUUAGCUGACACUCUUAUCCAGAGUGACUUAUUGUAGUGAGUGCAGACAUUUUCAAACUUUUCUUCCAUACUGUUUUUUGUAACAGUUGAAAGUGCGAUGGGUUGAAAGUGCGAUGGAAACACAUUGAACUUUAUAGAUGUUUAUUCAGAACAUGAAAACUUAAGCGAAAAAGUACAUUUUGUGUGCACUACGUCAUCACACUGAUUUUUAUCUGCAACAAGUCAGUUUGGUGGAAACACACCACUGGUGGGGAAAUGUGCUUAUGUUCUUCAUGCAGAUUUUAGAAUAUUAGCAUAAAAAUCUGUUGCCAACUGGACGGAAACCUAGCUAUUGUUUAAGGUAGAUUUGUGGCAGUGCUUUUCUAACCAGGGGGGUGUAUGUGUUUCAGAGUAUGUGGGUUUUUAAUGAAAAUAGCUAGGCAGACAACGGUAUACAGUAUCUUUGACAAACAAAAGCAGACAAAGUCAUACUACAGGAGAUGUCAUCCCUUUUAGAGCAGGCCUACACAUAAUGGGUUUAACAGAGAGAGGGAGAGAGGACAAAUUAGUGCCAAGGAAGUGUAUUGGCGACAUCAGGGUUGUGUAAGAAUGCAAGUGAAGUACAGAAAACAUAAGUUGUUACACAAUUGGUGUGACUCAGGCAUGAUUUAAAAGGGAAAAGGAAAGGGGGAUACCUAGUCAGUUGCACAACUGAAAUGUGUCUUCUGCAUUUAACCCAACCCCUCUGAAUCAGAGAGGUGUAGGGGAGCUGCCUUAAUCGACAUCCACGUCUUCAGCGCCCGGGGAACAGUGGGUUAAUUGCCUUGCUCAGAGGCAGAACGACAGAUUUUUACGUUGUCAGCUCGGGGAUUCGAUCCAGCAACCUUUCAGUUACUGGCCCAACGCUCCUACCCGCCGGGCUACAAAAAGCCUGUGUACCACAUGUGCAGCACACGUGGAACCACUCAUCGCCACAUAUCACAGUGGUGUAGGCAUAAUUCUUUGCAUCCCAGGUGAACUGUAAAAAUUGACAACACUUUUUUUGUGUGUAUUUCCAUUCUGACAGACUACAUAAUGAUAACAACACCCAGUCAUCAAACUCAAUGAGAUAAUUUGUGUGUCAGUGUGUGUGUGCAUGUGCAUGUUUGUGUGCUCCUCUCCAGGUAGAGUGCUCCUCUAGGUAGAGUACUCCUCUCUAGGUAGAGUGCUCCUCUCUAGGUAGAGUGCUCCUCUAGGUAGAGUACUCCUCUCUAGGUAGAGUGCUCCUCUCUAGGUAGAGUGCUCCUCUCUAGGUAGAGUGCUCCUCUCUAGGCAGAGUACUCCUCUCUAGGUAGAGUACUCUGCUCUAGGUAGAGUACUCCUCUCUAGGUAGAGUGCUCCUCUCUAGGUAGAGUGCUCCUCUCUAGGUAGAGUGCUCCUCUCUAGG
RNAcentral lists this long non-coding RNA (1779 nucleotides) under Salmo salar (Atlantic salmon). RNAcentral describes it as "lncRNA (ENSSSAG00000091616.1)". The record is from RNAcentral. Lineage: Eukaryota; Metazoa; Chordata; Actinopteri; Salmoniformes; Salmonidae.